UACGUAGGGGGCUAGCGUUGUCCGGAUUCAUUGGGCGUAAAGCGCGUGUAGGCGGCCAGGUAGGUCCGUUGUGAAAACUCGAGGCUUAACCUCGAGAUGUCAUCGGAAACCAUUUGGCUAGAGUCCGGAAGAGGAGAGUGGAAUUCCUGGUGUAGCGGUGAAAUGCGCAGAUAUCAGGAAGAACACCAAUGGCGAAAGCAGCUCUCUGGGACGGUACUGACGCUGAGACGCGAAAGCGUGGGGAGCGAACAGG
This 253-nucleotide ribosomal RNA is filed under the name uncultured bacterium. Its description in RNAcentral is "partial 16S ribosomal RNA". It matches the Rfam family "Bacterial small subunit ribosomal RNA", at positions 524 to 776 of the family's 1533-position model. The record is from RNAcentral.